This 648-nucleotide ribosomal RNA is filed under the name uncultured euryarchaeote. Its description in RNAcentral is "bacterial SSU rRNA". It matches the Rfam family "Archaeal small subunit ribosomal RNA", at positions 76 to 723 of the family's 1478-position model. Lineage: Archaea; Methanobacteriati; Methanobacteriota. The record is from RNAcentral.
CCGUGGCGAAUAGCUCAGUAACACGUGGCCAAACUACCCUAUGGACCCGGACAACCUCGGGAAACUGAGGCUAAUCCGGGAUACGGCUCCCACGCUGGAGUGCGGGGAGUCGGAAACGUUCCGGCGCCAUAGGAUGUGGCUGCGGCCGAUUAGGUAGACGGUGGGGUAACGGCCCACCGUGCCGAUAAUCGGUACGGGUUGUGAAAGCAAGAGCCCGGAGAUGGAAUCUGAGACAAGAUUCCAGGCCCUACGGGGCGCAGCAGGCGCGAAACCUUUACACUGCACGACAGUGCGAUAGGGGGAUCCCGAGUGCGAGGGCAUACAGUCCUCGCUUUUGCACACCGUAAGGUGGUGCGCGAAUAAGUGCUGGGCAAGACCGGUGCCAGCCGCCGCGGUAAUACCGGCAGCACAAGUGAUGGCCGCUUUUAUUGGGCCUAAAGCGUCCGUAGCCGGCCGAACAAGUCCGUCGGGAAAUCCAUCCGCCUAACGGAUGGGCGUCCGGCGGAAACUGUUCGGCUUGGGACAGGAAGACUCGAGGGGUACGUCCGGGGUAGGAGUGAAAUCCCGUAAUCCUGGACGGACCGCCGAUGGCGAAAGCACCUCGAGAAGACUGAUCCGGCGGUGAGGGACGAAAGCUGGGGUCUCGAA